UAUGUAACGGAAGUGACAUACGGCAGCGGUUAAUUUAAAUCCCAGUUUGUAAAUAGGGACUUCAAUUGCAACUCUUCUUGAUUUUAACAGCAAACGAUAACCAUACUGAAAGAUGGCAGACAGAGGUCAAAACACAAUGAAAAGUCCUGAGGUGGCAAAAGAAAUGAAAAACAACAUUUUACGGCAACAGCUUUUUAGUCCAACGGACAACUUAGUUUCACCCUGCACGCAAAAGUUAAUGGGAAUGAAGGGGAGAGGUAAACAAAGACUGUUGCACCAAGCAUUUAAGGGAGCAGCCAAGAAUGCACAGCUGCAUUCAGAGAAUGUGAAAGAAAACAUUACAUCCAAUUCUGCAUGAUGUUCAGUCAAGUCCCCUGUUUUUGAUCUCAUUAUGUUGUGGUUUUUUAAAAAAGACAUUGGACAGUGUGGAGCUGUACAUGAUAUUUGUGAUUCCUUUCAUGAUAUAAUUUAGGCUUCACAGUAAUCAAUGACAAGUUGGCAUAGCAUUUUUGUACCCAUAUAUAUAGGAAACAAUCUCCCUAAAGAUUCUUUCAUGGUUUAACUCAUUAAAUUGGUGAACAGAAUGAAGAACAGUGCAAGUCAAUUUUUUGGGCAUGGUGCACAUGCCUAUGUUGUAUUUGUUUGUACUAUUGAUAGUAUUUGAAAUGCCUUUUUUGUUAAAUCAUUGUGAUUAUGUGUAUGUGAAACUGACUGAUGAUGUAU
Long non-coding RNA from Lingula anatina, 723 nucleotides. RefSeq lists it as uncharacterized. Lineage: Eukaryota; Metazoa; Brachiopoda; Lingulata; Lingulida; Lingulidae. The record is from RefSeq and is a predicted model, not a curated record.